RNAcentral lists this ribosomal RNA (470 nucleotides) under uncultured bacterium. Its description in RNAcentral is "bacterial SSU rRNA". It matches the Rfam family "Bacterial small subunit ribosomal RNA", at positions 335 to 798 of the family's 1533-position model. The record is from RNAcentral.
ACUCCUACGGGAGGCAGCAGUGGGGAAUAUUGCACAAUGGGCGCAAGCCUGAUGCAGCCAUGCCGCGUGUAUGAAGAAGGCCUUCGGGUUGUAAAGUACUUUCAGCAGUGAGGAAGGUGGAUAUGUUAAUAGCAUAUUCAUUUGACGUUAGCUGCAGAAGAAGCACCGGCUAACUCCGUGCCAGCAGCCGCGGUAAUACGGAGGGUGCGAGCGUUAAUCGGAAUUACUGGGCGUAAAGCGCAUGCAGGUGGUUUGUUAAGUCAGAUGUGAAAGCCCGGGGCUCAACCUCGGAAUUGCAUUUGAAACUGGCAAACUAGAGUACUGUAGAGGGGGGUAGAAUUUCAGGUGUAGCGGUGAAAUGCGUAGAGAUCUGAAGGAAUACCGGUGGCGAAGGCGGCCCCCUGGACAGAUACUGACACUCAGAUGCGAAAGCGUGGGAGCAAACAGGAUUAGAUACCCUGGUAGGCUCU